AGACUGGCUAAGGAGUCCAUGUCGCAUGUGAUUACGGUGGUGAUAUGCUUUUAUAUUCAUAAAUAUUUAAAGCUUGAGUAUCAGGAUUUGUUUCUUUCGCCCGACUUGAAACUACAGAUGGGUUGACAGCAACACAAGUGAAGAUGGCGACCACUUCUUAUGAUAUAUGGCUGGCAACAGAAGCCACUACCUUUCUAGACUUGAUGACAACAAAGUGUAGGUGGCGCCCUCUACUAGUGAAGUGUCGAACUGUAAGAAAGGAAGGUUGGAAAAAAGGUCCAGUAUCUAAUGAAGUAGGAUAGAUUCGCAAUUAUGAAAUCGCUGGCGUUGAUGUGUCUCCUUGUUGCGGUUGCCGUCGCUGUUCUGCCGAUUAAAAAACGUGGACCGAACAUACACAAAAUUCACAACGUCCAAGAUAUUCUAAAGAUGAAGACGCUUCAACGCCGCGAUAAUGCUGGAGAUGAUAUAAACGGCAAUGACGCUGACGACCUACUUUUAAGAGUGGCUAGGGAUGACGCUGGACAAGGAUUCGGUGGCGGGGGUAAUUACGGUGGCUGGGGUAAUUACGGUGGAUGAGAACGUAUGCGUAUGACCAAGACGACGUUUGUAUGAGUGCAUCAACAUACUGUAUUUCCGCUUUUCUGUAUUGUUGAUGUAGUAGUAAAAGAUCGCAGCAUG
Long non-coding RNA from Dreissena polymorpha, 678 nucleotides. RefSeq lists it as uncharacterized. The transcript is spliced from 4 exons. Lineage: Eukaryota; Metazoa; Mollusca; Bivalvia; Myida; Dreissenidae. The record is from RefSeq and is a predicted model, not a curated record.